GAUGAACGCUGGCGGCGUGCCUAAUACAUGCAAGUCGAGCGAACAGACGAGGAGUUUGCUCCUCUGACGUUAGCGGCGGACGGGUGAGUAACACGUGGAUAACCUACCUAUAAGACUGGGAUAACUUCGGGGAACCGGAGCUAAUACCGGAUAAUAUAUUGAACCGCAUGGUUCAAUAGUGAAAGACGGUUUUGCUGUCACUUAUAGAUGGAUCCGCGCCGCAUUAGCUAGUUGGUAAGGUAACGGCUUACCAAGGCAACGAUGCGUAGCCGACCUGAGAGGGUGAUCGGCCACACUGGAACUGAGACACGGUCCAGACUCCUACGGGAGGCAGCAGUAGGGAAUCUUCCGCAAUGGGCGAAAGCCUGACGGAGCAACGCCGCGUGAGUGAUGAAGGUCUUCGGAUCGUAAAACUCUGUUAUUAGGGAAGAACAAAUGUGUAAGUAACUAUGCACGUCUUGACGGUACCUAAUCAGAAAGCCACGGCUAACUACGUGCCAGCAGCCGCGGUAA
RNAcentral lists this ribosomal RNA (513 nucleotides) under uncultured bacterium. Its description in RNAcentral is "partial 16S ribosomal RNA". It matches the Rfam family "Bacterial small subunit ribosomal RNA", at positions 28 to 523 of the family's 1533-position model. The record is from RNAcentral.